CGGUCUUUUCUCAUUGCACUAAAAGUUGAAUCGAGAAAACAAGUAUCACUCUCGUGAUUAUUUCUCCCCUGUUUUCAGCAGGCUACAGUUCCCUUGACAUGCCAUUGUAACGGUUGUUUGUGGUGGAAGAAGAGGAGGACCAAUGCGCAGCGUGGUAAGUGUCCAUAUUGAUAAUUUAUUUUCAUGAACACAAAAACAAAAUAACCAGAACGAACGAAACGAAACAGUUCUGUCUGGUGCAGAUACAAACACUCAACAGAAAACAAUCACCCACACCACACAGGUGGGAAAAGGCUGCCUAAGUAUGAUUCUCAAUCAGAGACAAC
This is a long non-coding RNA of Oncorhynchus tshawytscha (Chinook salmon), 326 nucleotides long. Lineage: Eukaryota; Metazoa; Chordata; Actinopteri; Salmoniformes; Salmonidae. The record is from Ensembl.